RNAcentral lists this ribosomal RNA (449 nucleotides) under uncultured bacterium. RNAcentral describes it as "partial 16S ribosomal RNA". It matches the Rfam family "Bacterial small subunit ribosomal RNA", at positions 29 to 523 of the family's 1533-position model. The record is from RNAcentral.
AACGAACGCUGGCGGCAUGCCUAAUACAUGCAAGUCGAACGAUCACUUCGGUGGUAGUGGCGCACGGGUGCGUAACGCGUGGGAAUCUGCCCUUGGGUUCGGAAUAACGUCGGGAAACUGACGCCAAUACCGGAUGAUGACGUAAGUCCAAAGAUUUAUCGCCCAGGGAUGAGCACGCGUAGGAUUAGCUAGUUGGUGGGGUAAAGGCCUACCAAGGCGACGAUCCUUAGCUGGUCUGAGAGGAUGAUCAGCCACACUGGGACUGAGACACGGCCCAGACUCCUACGGGAGGCAGCAGUAGGGAAUAUUGGACAAUGGGGGCAACCCUGAUCCAGCAAUGCCGCGUGAGUGAUGAAGGCCUUAGGGUUGUAAAGCUCUUUUACCCGGGAUGAUAAUGACAGUACCGGGAGAAUAAGCCCCGGCUAACUCCGUGCCAGCAGCCGCCGUAA